This is a non-coding RNA of Schistosoma haematobium, 45 nucleotides long. The record is from Rfam. Lineage: Eukaryota; Metazoa; Platyhelminthes; Trematoda; Strigeidida; Schistosomatidae.
AUUCAGCUGAUGAGUCCCAAAUAAGACAAAACGCGCGUUCUAAAU